UGCAAUCAACCCCGAGAGGUUCCGGGAGGA
This 30-nucleotide non-coding RNA is filed under the name Homo sapiens (human). Lineage: Eukaryota; Metazoa; Chordata; Mammalia; Primates; Hominidae. The record is from RNAcentral.